UACGGGGGGGGUAAGCGUUGUUCGGAAUUACUGGGCGUAAAGGGCUCGUAGGCGGCCAACUAAGUCGGACGUGAAAUCCCUCAGCUUAACUGGGGAACUGCGUCCGAUACUGGAUGGCUUGGAUUUGGGAGAGGGAUGCGGAAUUCCAGGUGUAGUGGUGAAAUGCGUAGAGAUCCGGAGGAACACCAGUGGCGAAGGCGACACGCGGGGCCGUACCUGACGCUAAAGCGCGACAGCAUGGGGAGCAAACGGG
RNAcentral lists this ribosomal RNA (253 nucleotides) under uncultured bacterium. Its description in RNAcentral is "partial 16S ribosomal RNA". It matches the Rfam family "Bacterial small subunit ribosomal RNA", at positions 524 to 776 of the family's 1533-position model. The record is from RNAcentral.